This 434-nucleotide ribosomal RNA is filed under the name uncultured bacterium. Its description in RNAcentral is "partial 16S ribosomal RNA". It matches the Rfam family "Bacterial small subunit ribosomal RNA", at positions 29 to 507 of the family's 1533-position model. The record is from RNAcentral.
AGCGAACGCUGGCGGCAGGCCUAACACAUGCAAGUCGAACGAACCUUUCGGGGUUAGUGGCGGACGGGUGAGUAACACGUGGGAACGUGCCUUUAGGUUCGGAAUAACUCAGGGAAACUUGUGCUAAUACCGAAUGUGCCCUUCGGGGGAAAGAUUUAUCGCCUUUAGAGCGGCCCGCGUCUGAUUAGCUAGUUGGUUGAGGUAAUGGCUCACCAAGGCGACGAUCAGUAGCUGGUCUGAGAGGAUGAGCAGCCACAUUGGGACUGAGACACGGCCCAAACUCCUACGGGAGGCAGCAGUGGGGAAUCUUGCGCAAUGGGCGAAAGGCUGACGCAGCCAUGCCGCGUGAAUGAUGAAGGUCUUAGGAUUGUAAAAUGCUUUCACCGGGGACGAUAAUGACGGUACCCGGAGAAGAAGCCCCGGCUAACUUCGUG